AAUGCUCUUCUCCACGACAAGACACACAAGUUCUUCAGCACUACUAUUUCAGCUCUGCAAAUUAAAUUUACAACACUCAUUAUUAUCUCUAUAAAUAAUUCGCAAAAUUUUAAAACAAUUCAGGUAACCAAUUGCACCAUCCAUUUCCCAACCAAUUACAUUUCCUCUUCAAUAGCAUGCACAAUACUUACGUUGUGGCUGUUAAGACUUCACAGUUGUAGGGUUCUUUUUGUUUUGUGAAAUUGGGAAUUUCGGGAUCGGGUUUGGUCGUUUUGUUUGGUAUCUAGGGAAUGCUCAUCCAUUGCUGUUGUAGAAAUAUCAACAAACAAAAUUAUUCGCAAUUAAUUCAACUUACACGUAAUAACAUUAUAAACUUAAGACAAAAUCAACAUUUCCUGCAACCAUACAAGAUGCUCAGACAUUAUUGAUUUUCGAUUUAAUUUUACAACAUACAACAAUUGAAAAAUAUGCCACCAUUUACCUAGCCGAUGACGAAGAGAUUUUGAUUACAAUUGUUCCAUCCGGUUUCUUCUGCCUACACAAUAUUUGCUCGGAUAUUUGGCAGAAACAGUCAUGUGUUGGCCUUCCCUUGAAAAAUUUUAUGGUGUUCUCCUUACUU
This 619-nucleotide long non-coding RNA is filed under the name Citrus maxima (pomelo). RNAcentral's name for it is "long non-coding RNA (CMAX_LNC003957)". Lineage: Eukaryota; Viridiplantae; Streptophyta; Magnoliopsida; Sapindales; Rutaceae. The record is from RNAcentral.